Molecule: ribosomal RNA, 465 nt
Filed under: uncultured bacterium
Lineage: Bacteria
Description: partial 16S ribosomal RNA
Rfam family: Bacterial small subunit ribosomal RNA
Source: RNAcentral
CCUACGGGAGGCAGCAGUAGGGAAUCUUCCACAAUGGGCGAAAGCCUGAUGGAGCAACGCCGCGUGGGUGAAGAAGGUCUUCGGAUCGUAAAACCCUGUUGUUAGAGAAGAAAGUUCGUGCGAGUAACUGUUCACGUGUCGACUUUAUCAAACCAGAAAGCAACGGCUAACGACGGGACAGCAGCCGCGGUAAUACGUAGGUGGCAAGCGUUAUCCGGUUUGAUUGGGCGUAAAGGGAACGCAGGCGGUCUUUUAAGUCUGAUGUGAAAGCCUUCGGCUUAACCGGAGGAGUGCAUUGGAGACUGGGAGACUGGAGUGCAGAAGAGGAGAGUGGAACUCCAGGUGUAGCGGUGAAAUGCGUAGAUAUAUGGAAGAACACCGGUGGCGAAGGCGGCUCUCUGGACUGUAACUGACGCUGCUGUUCGAAAGCGUGGGUAGCAAACAGGAUUAGAUACCCUGGUAGUC